AAUAGCCUGCUCAGCAGCACCCAAGUCUCAGGGCAAGAGCAUUGAUGACUCGUAUAUGGCAUUUUUGGAGGACAUGAAAGCACUGGGUGCGCUUGAUAGUUGAUUUAAUUUAUAGCUUGACCUUCUCAAAAAAAAAAAAAAUAGCUUGACAAUGUACAAGGUAAUGAAGAGCCAUUGGGGGGAAGAAAAUCUGUAUGCAAGCUAUCCUAAAGCGGAAAUACGUUUUGUUGCUGCUAGCCUUAGUUUAUUUCUUUCCCUUAUUUGUUUAGGAACUUACCUGUGUAUCAUCGAUUAUCAAUUCAUCAUUUCUAUUGCUCAGGUGUUUUUAUGUUGGAGUUCUUGAGGUGGGAGUAAAGUUGCCCUACUUUUCUUG
Molecule: long non-coding RNA, 373 nt
Filed under: Citrus maxima (pomelo)
Lineage: Eukaryota; Viridiplantae; Streptophyta; Magnoliopsida; Sapindales; Rutaceae
Description: long non-coding RNA (CMAX_LNC002066)
Source: RNAcentral